UACAGAGGUCUCAAGCGUUGUUCGGAUUCAUUGGGCGUAAAGGGUGCGUAGGUGGCGCCGUAAGUCGGGUGUGAAAUUUCGGAGCUUAACUCCGAAACUGCAUUCGAUACUGCGGUGCUUGAGGACUGGAGAGGAGACUGGAAUUCAAGGUGUAGCAGUGAAAUGCGUAGAGAUCAUGAGGAAGACCAGUGGCGAAGGCGGGUCUCUGGACAGUUCCUGACACUGAGGCACGAAGGCCAGGGGAGCAAACGGG
This 253-nucleotide ribosomal RNA is filed under the name uncultured bacterium. Its description in RNAcentral is "partial 16S ribosomal RNA". It matches the Rfam family "Bacterial small subunit ribosomal RNA", at positions 524 to 776 of the family's 1533-position model. The record is from RNAcentral.